GAUGAACGCUGGCGGCGUGCCUAAUACAUGCAAGUCGAGCGAACAGACGAGGAGCUUGCUCCUCUGACGUUAGCGGCGGACGGGUGAGUAACACGUGGAUAACCUACCUAUAAGACUGGGAUAACUUCGGGAAACCGGAGCUAAUACCGGAUAAUAUAUUGAACCGCAUGGUUCAAUAGUGAAAGACGGUUUUGCUGUCACUUAUAGAUGGAUCCGCGCCGCAUUAGCUAGUUGGUAAGGUAACGGCUUACCAAGGCAACGAUGCGUAGCCGACCUGAGAGGGUGAUCGGCCACACUGGAACUGAGACACGGUCCAGACUCCUACGGGAGGCAGCAGUAGGGAAUCUUCCGCAAAAGGCGAAAGCCUGACGGAGCAACGCCGCGUGAGUGAUGAAGGUCUUCGGAUCGUAAAACUCUGUUAUUAGGGAAGAACAAAUGUGUAAGUAACUAUGCACGUCUUGACGGUACCUAAUCAGAAAGCCACGGCUAACUACGUG
Molecule: ribosomal RNA, 497 nt
Filed under: uncultured bacterium
Lineage: Bacteria
Description: partial 16S ribosomal RNA
Rfam family: Bacterial small subunit ribosomal RNA
Source: RNAcentral